RNAcentral lists this ribosomal RNA (440 nucleotides) under uncultured bacterium. RNAcentral describes it as "partial 16S ribosomal RNA". It matches the Rfam family "Bacterial small subunit ribosomal RNA", at positions 339 to 795 of the family's 1533-position model. The record is from RNAcentral.
CUACGGGUGGCUGCAGCCGGGAAUAUUGCGCAAUGGGGGAAACCCUGACGCAGCGACGCCGCGUGCGGGAUGAAGGUCUUCGGAUUGUAAACCGCUGUGGAGAGGGAAGAUAAUGACGGUACCUCCCUAGAAAGCACCUGCUAACUACGUGCCAGAAGCCUCGGUGAUACGUAGGGUGCAAGCAUUAUCCGGAUUUACUGGGCGUAAAGAGUAUCGUAGGCGGUCUUUAAAGUGAUUGGUGAAAUCCUUGGGCUCAACCCAAGAACUGCCAGUCAUACUCAGAGACUAGAGUAACUUCGGGAAGGUUGGAAUUUUCGGUGUAGGGGUGAAAUCCGUUGAUAUCGAAAAGAACACCAAGGGCGAAGGCAGACCUUUAGGAGUUUACUGACGCUGAUGAACGAAAGCUUGGGGAGCAAACAGGAUUAGAUACCCUGGUAGUC